CCCUUAGAUGUUCUGGGCCGCACGCGUGCUACACUGACCGGCGCAACAAGUUUCUUUCCUUGGCUCGAUAGGCCUGGGUAAUCUUUGAACGCCGGUCGUGAUGGGGAUAGAUCCUUGCAAUUUUUGAUCUUCAACGAGGAAUUCCUAGUAAAUGCGAGUCAUCAUCUCGCGUUGAUUACGUCCCUGCCCUUUGUACACACCGCCCGUCGCACCUACCGAUUGAACGUUUUAGUGAGGUACUCGGACUGAGCCUCAGAAGAUUCACGUCUUUUGUGCUGCUCGGGAAGAUUCCCAAACUUGAGCGUUUAGAGGAAGUAAAAGUCGUAACA
Molecule: ribosomal RNA, 329 nt
Filed under: uncultured eukaryote
Lineage: Eukaryota
Description: partial 18S ribosomal RNA
Rfam family: Eukaryotic small subunit ribosomal RNA
Source: RNAcentral